GAUCCUGUAGCUCAGUCGGUUAGAGCGUUGGUCUUAUGAGCCGAAGGUCGAGAGUUCAAGCCUCUCUAGGAUCA
This 74-nucleotide transfer RNA is filed under the name Sphenostylis stenocarpa. Its description in RNAcentral is "tRNA gene-AYBTSS11_LOCUS25803". It matches the Rfam family "tRNA". Rfam says of the family: Transfer RNA (tRNA) molecules are approximately 80 nucleotides in length. Their secondary structure includes four short double-helical elements and three loops (D, anti-codon, and T loops). The record is from RNAcentral. Lineage: Eukaryota; Viridiplantae; Streptophyta; Magnoliopsida; Fabales; Fabaceae.